GUGGUAGCUUAAUGGUAGAGUGCUUGCCUGGCAUGCAUGAAUUCCUGGGUUCGAUUCCUCAGUACCACA
This 69-nucleotide transfer RNA is filed under the name Dipodomys ordii (Ord's kangaroo rat). It matches the Rfam family "tRNA". From Rfam's summary of the family: Transfer RNA (tRNA) molecules are approximately 80 nucleotides in length. Their secondary structure includes four short double-helical elements and three loops (D, anti-codon, and T loops). Further hydrogen bonds mediate the characteristic L-shaped molecular structure. tRNAs have two regions of fundamental functional importance: the anti-codon, which is responsible for specific mRNA codon recognition, and the 3' end, to which the tRNAs corresponding amino acid is attached (by aminoacyl-tRNA synthetases). tRNAs cope with the degeneracy of the genetic code in two manners: having more than one tRNA (with a specific anti-codon) for a particular amino acid; and 'wobble' base-pairing, i.e. permitting non-standard base-pairing at the 3rd anti-codon position. Lineage: Eukaryota; Metazoa; Chordata; Mammalia; Rodentia; Heteromyidae. The record is from Rfam by way of RNAcentral.